UACGAAGGGGGCUAGCGUUGCUCGGAAUUACUGGGCGUAAAGGGAGCGUAGGCGGGUUAUCAAGUUGGAGGUGAAAGCCCAGGGCUCAACCUUGGAAUUGCCUUCAAAACUGAUAGCCUAGAGUAUGGAAGAGGUAAGUGGAACUCCGAGUGUAGAGGUGAAAUGCGUAGAGAUCGGCAGGAACACCCAGGGGGAAACCAGUCGACUGGGCAUCUACUGACGCUGAGGUGCGAGAGCGUGGGGAGCGAACCGG
RNAcentral lists this ribosomal RNA (253 nucleotides) under uncultured bacterium. RNAcentral's name for it is "partial 16S ribosomal RNA". It matches the Rfam family "Bacterial small subunit ribosomal RNA", at positions 524 to 776 of the family's 1533-position model. The record is from RNAcentral.